GGGGCAUGAGUUCUUAGCAUGAAAAAAUAGAGGAGUGUUCUCUUCUCUUGGGGUGUGCGCAAAAACCAGAUUUCUAGGAUUUUAUUUCUCAGGGUUUGGGAAGAGAGAAAAAAUAAGAGAAAAAUUCUCCAUCUUUCUUCUAUCUCUUCAUCUCCUUCAAAAAUUCAUCUUUAAUCUCUGAAAAGAUUUUAAAGAUUUAAAGAAAAGAUUCAGAUCAGCUA
RNAcentral lists this long non-coding RNA (221 nucleotides) under Elaeis guineensis (African oil palm). Its description in RNAcentral is "long non-coding RNA (EGUI_LNC070639)". Lineage: Eukaryota; Viridiplantae; Streptophyta; Magnoliopsida; Arecales; Arecaceae. The record is from RNAcentral.